UAGGGAAUCUUCCACAAUGGACGCAAGUCUGAUGGAGCAACGCCGCGUGAGUGAAGAAGGUUUUCGGACCGUAAAGCUCUGUUGUUGGUGAAGAAGGAUAGAGGUAGUAACUGGCCUUUAUUUGACGGUAAUCAACCAGAAAGUCACGGCUAACUACGUGCCAGCAGCCGCGGUAAUACGUAGGUGGCAAGCGUUGUCCGGAUUUAUUGGGCGUAAAGCGAGCGCAGGCGGAAGAAUAAGUCUGAUGUGAAAGCCCUCGGCUUAACCGAGGAAUUGCAUCGGAAACUGUUUUCUUGAGUGCAGAAGAGGAGAGUAGAACUCCAUGUGUAGCGGUGGAAUGCGUAGAUAUAUGGAAGAAUACCAGUGGCGAAGGCGGCUCUCUGGUCUGCAACUGACGCUGAGGCUCGAAAGCAUGGGUAGCGAACAGGAUUAGAUACCCUGGUAGUCCAUGCCGUAAACGAUGAGUGCUAAGUGUUGGGAGGCUUCCGCCUCUCAGUGCUGCAGCUAACGCAUUAAGCACUCCGCCUGGGGGAGUACGACCGCAGGUUGAAAC
This 553-nucleotide ribosomal RNA is filed under the name uncultured bacterium. Its description in RNAcentral is "partial 16S ribosomal RNA". It matches the Rfam family "Bacterial small subunit ribosomal RNA", at positions 355 to 900 of the family's 1533-position model. The record is from RNAcentral.